AAAAUGAAAUAUACAUGUAGUUGACAUUAAAAUGUAAACAUCCUAAUACAACAUUAUAAUUUAACUUAACUUAACGGACACAAAACCAAACAAAAAAUUAACAAGUUUGUAAAAACACAAUAUAGCUUUCUGUACAAGGCACAAAAUGCCAUGAGUAAAAAAAAGAAGAGACAAAAGAUGGAAUUGACUACGUACAUGUGACUUGUUGGAUGUUGACUGAAGCAUAAUGGUGACAGAAACAAAAUUUGAAGUCUGUUAUCUGCACCAUAUGCGACCUCUCACGCAAAAAUGUACACUAAUAGGUAUCCGUUCAAACAUCUAAAAACCAUUUGCUUGCCAUUUGCUAUCCAUUUGUCAUCCAUUCAUGAUCAAUAGGAUGCCAUUUGAACAGAUUGGGUCAUUCAUUCAGAAAACUUUCCAGCCGUUCAAAUGGCUGCUGCUAUCCAUUUGAAAAAAACUCUUCACCCAUUCAAACAGAUGAAGUUAUCCAUUCAAAAAAAAUAUUCAUUUGUUCAAAAAACUGAGGUUAUCCAUUCAAAUUCAAAUGGCUAAGGCUACCUGUUCAAAAAAAAAAUAGUGAUCUGUUCAAAUAGCUGAAGUUAUCCAUUCAAAAAAUAGUCAUCCGUUCAAACAGCUAAGAAAUUUUCCAACAAAUAAAUUGUCUAACAGUAUGUAGUAGCCCUGAUGACAUGACACUAUAAUGUUACAAGUUCAUCAGUAUGAUGAGAACUCAAAAAAGGAGGUUGCUCCAAAAAGGUUACUUUUUUGUCUUCCCCCAUAGCAAGUAAACAUUCAACUUUUCCACUCACGAAGUUUCAGCCACUGAAGUACCUGCUAUCCUGAACAAAUUUAUCUCAAAUGAGGCAACUUCAGAGACCCCUACUUUGAAAGUGUACUUGGCAGCCAGGCCGUGUUUAUGUGACGUCAUUCCAUCCAACUCACAUUGAUGGAAAGAAAAAACCUUGCAACUGACUUUGCAUCCUUUACAGGGUCAGCAAAAUAUUCAAAGGCUUGUUGCAAGCCAUUUGGACAAAAUAUCUUACACAAAAUGACAUCACAAAAAUACAGCCUGAAAUGUUGGUAACAAUGUUGAAUUUUGGGCCUCUUAUUGGAGACAAAUUAUUAGCAUUGACAAAAAAUAUCCAUUCUUUGUAGUGACCUUCUCCUUUAAGUAAUCUUCUGUGACUAUAUGUUUUAACUUAAUUCUUUCUUGCAUACCAAAAUUGAAAACAGACAAAAACUACUCAUAAUUUAGAUAAACAACAAUUCAGUAAACCUUAAUAUAAUUUAUUACUAAUUUGACUCCAGCCACAAAAGGCUUGUUGCUAUGUUGAAAAAUUAUAGAAGUUCAGCAGUUUGCAACACAUCACACUGAACUGUGAAAAAUGCUCACAAUGUAACUAAUUAAAUUGUCAUACCAGAUUUUCUUACUAUCGAUCAGCUACAUUAAAACUAUUAUAUCUACAAGUUCCCUACGGAUUCUUCCUCCUAAGAAAAUGCCCAACAGUCCAUUAUUUCAAUCCUACCCAUACACCUUACUAUGAAACUUGUUCACAGGCUAACAUCAGAUGGGAUGUUUAUUCAUCUUUAAUACAAGCCAAUACAGGGCUUCAAAUAACGGCCGGUAAACGGACAAUGUCCAGUUAAAAAUAGAUUUUAUCUGGUCAAAUCCUUAGAUGGCCAGAUAAUUUGUCCAGUCGUUUACGCUGGUAAGGGAAAAAUUUAGAGCAGUCAAGUUUUAAAUAUUUAAGGUUCAAUAUUAUUGGCAUUUGUUAAAAAGGAGGGGGAAAAGGCGAAUACUUAACUACCAGUCCAAGAACUUUUAAUAAAUGAUUCAUAAUAGUCAUAAAAUUUCCGGCUAUUGUUGCAACUUUUAGCACAAAUGUGAUACUGAUUUUGCUGUACCAGAAGUUCCACUUUUCUUGCAUUGAGAUCAUUGCUCAAGUACAAUAAAUGCUUUGAAAAUUUACUUGUUUCAUAUUUAAACAUCAUAUGAAGGAAGAGGAGGCACUUUUAUAGUAAUAAGAUGUAAUUGAAGUUUGUCCAACCAAAAAUGGGAUAUGUCCAACGUAAAAUACACUGUAGGUUUGACCAGACAAUUUGACCUGCACCAGCCGGGAAAUUAUUUGUAGCCCUGCAAUAUUUAAUUUUAAAACAAAAAUAAAGCCUUAUGUAAGUUCAACAUAAACUUUUUGUAGUAUAAGUUCUGAAAAUAUAUUCUUAUCCUAGUGUUCUGCUAUUUAAAAUAUUAUUUCCAUUUCCCAGUGACUUCCUUUUUACUAUGAACUCAACAAUAAGGCAUUCAGUACUACCAUAAAACAUAGUGCAUUUGACAAUAUUUACUCUUUUUUAGUAGCUAUAAAUAAAUAAAUGCAGAAUCUUGUAUCCAUUAUAUAGGUGAGUAGACAAAUUUACCACGAUCUUAAAGAACAAAUGUUACACUGGCAACAGAUUGCUGACAGUGCUGAAACAGAUGAGGUAAAUUAAAGAGUCCAACGAUUACUAUUCAUGCAAACCAUAACUUUUAUAAGUACAGUUGAACCCUGUUAAUUAGAACUCACUUACAUGUAUUUCAAAUCCCCCAUUAUUUUGCAUUCAAAACAAUUUCCCUUGGAUCAACCCUUCAAGCCAACCCUUUGUCAUUUCCCCUGAGAGUUUAAAAUAAAGGAGUUUAACUUAUUAUAUAAUUUCCAGAGGUGAAUAUAACAAUUGGACAAAAUGAUUGGUCAAAAACCUUAGCUUAUAUGAUACUAUAUUCACCGCACUGGGCGGUGAAUAUAACAUUUUCGAACCUGAUUACUAAGCUUGCCACCUUUACAAUCUCAGGAAAUACACAUGGUCAUCUCAGUAAGUAAACAUGAACAAAAUUUUAAUUUUCACUGUAUUCGAGAGACAUCACUCCAAGUCCAAGAUAUUUGAAAGAAUGAAUCUUUCCAAGAACUCCCAUUCAAGAUAUUUAAAAAUUGUAAGCACAAUGGCUACAUUGAUCGCCAGCAGGUAAGAUCGAUUGACCAAAAUUUAUUUUUCUUCAAACUAAAGCUACUCAUUUUUAACCAAUAAUGACAACAGUGAAUGAAAUCAACAAUGAUAAAACAAAGAUAUCAGAUGAAUUUAUUUUGCGCAGUGUUUUGCUCGUUUGUUUUACUGCUGAACUUGAUGAGUAAAUUGAUUCACAAUCGAUGGACAUGUAAGCUUAGUAUUAAAACUACUGUAUACAACUUCAUAUGUGUACAUGCAAACAAACAAUUGGGUCUGUGUUUUUAUGUGGUAGUCUAUCAUUCUGUAAUCUUUGAUGUUCACCUCUGAAAAUUAUCCCAAAAAAAUUAUUCAACUUCAACAAAUAAUAUUGUUAAAGAUGAUUUCCAGUCCAUACUGCAGGGUCUCAGCUCCCCACAACCUCAUUCUCAAAAUCUCUCAUCUUACCACCCCCUGAAGCCAACGAACAGACACCCUGGUUGGGUCUGGUCACAUGUCUCUCAGAAUCUGGGAGAUGACAAUUAAAUUAUUGAAGGGAUGAACGGCCUAGGAGGAAUUUUGUCUAUACUUAGCGUACAGGAGUGCAAGAUGUGUUGUCACCAAAGUAAACCUGGAACGAUAUGAUAUUCUGCAGCAAUGUCCAGCAGUAAUAUUCUACAAAUGCUGAGGAAAACUUAUCCAUCAUCUGAUAGUAGAAAUUCAAGUUGCUGAAGUUUAUGUAGCUCAGUGAAGGAUGUUACAUCAAAAUUUGUAAAAAUCUCCUCAAGAAGACAAAUGGAGAAUUGCACACAGCAGCCGAGGCUGUGUAUGGAAGAUCUUUAACUCAUCUUUGGCCCAGAAUGAAGUGCAAGUCUUACGAAUGGCGAUUAAAUAAUUAUAGAGUUUUAAGGCCUUUUAAUUCACCACAGAAAGCCAAAGUCACUUCAACUUUCAGGAUUCUGUUUUUCUUUGUGACUACCUUGUAAAAAUAUUGAGACCUCAUUGUAAAAACUGUCGAGACUUUUUCAGCCUCUUCACAGACAGGAGCUGUUGAAUUCAAACUGUUCCAAAAGUAGCAUUAUCGAAAUUUGACUGCUAAUAAAUGUCGAAGGAAAUAAAAUUUUCUCAUCUAAUUAUUAUCUGCAGUGGUAAGUUUUGUCAGUAUCGAGACACCUUAUCACCUUAAGUAUACAUGUGUGUUGUUAUGUUUAAUGAAAUGUUAUCCCUUUACAGUUCUGCAUGAUUUUGGGCGUGAUUUUAUCAGGAUGCUCAUGUUUUGUGCUACUAAUUUUGAAACAAGAAAAGAACAUUGAUGUAUGCUUUCAGAAAAUGCUGUCUUGUUUGUCAAAUUCACAGCAAAAAGUAAACAUGAUACGUCCACUAUGAAAUUCUGACCUUGUUUCUGAAAAGUGUUAGUGUCUGUCUUCCUUGAGGAAGACAAAGUUACUAGUUCGGCCAAUUUCAUUUUGUUUACUAGCCAAAUUUAAAGUGGCUAGUGGAAAUCAGAAACCUACUAGCCAAAACUAAAUUUCCACUAGUCUAUGGCUUGUUGGCUACUGUUAGUGUCGAGCCCUUUAUAUAGUGAAUUGUGACCCUGCAGGCCCAACUAUUUGAUUAUAACUGUUUGCAAGCACAGUACAUUGCACAAAUAUCAUAUUUAUCUUCAUCCAGCUUUCCUUCAAAGACUGCCAUAGUUUUACUUUGAGAAAGCUAUCCAUUUUCCUAGAGACAUUCUUAUGUUUUUUGCAUCAAUUUUGAUUGAGUGCAUUCAAAGGAGAAAGUCAUCAAUUACUACAUAAUGAAAUUGCAUCUGCUCAACAUCCUCAGUUGAAAUAUGACUGACUUUCCAUAAAUCUGGUGGGUAAGACAGCAACGCUGAACAUCGUGACCGUGUUAAAUUGCCUUGAGACAGACUUCAUUAACCUUUAGAUAAACAUUGGAAUAGACAUUAUUCGAAAUUUCAGCCUGAAGACUAAGUACUGUUAAACACCGCAGGUAACUGCAGUCGCAGCUCGAUACUUUGAAUUUGACAAAGCUCAAUGUGACAAAUUGCUGAUUAUAGAGGACUCUUCCCUGAUGUUCUCAAUUGUCAAAGUGACAUGUGACCAGACCCAACUAGGGUCUCUCCUUGCUCACUCCAGGGGGUGGUAAGAUGAGAGACCCUGGAAAUGAAGUUGAGCUCCCUAAUGUUUAUAAACAUAAAAAUUCUCACUCAAUGGAAUACAAAUCAAUGUUAUUCGUUACAAACCAUAUACCUUAUCUUUUAGGCCUUUCAAAUUCUUUUUUAAACUGCUUCAUUGAUUUUUACAGCUGCAAAAUUAUUUCAUCAACUGAUAUCAGAAAGAACAAAACAUAAUGGUGGUUGAGGUGAAACUUUGAAUUUAUUUCAUGUAAGUAGUAACAAAAUCUUCACAUUUGUGACGUCAUAUAUCAAACAAAACAAAUCACAUAAACAAACUCUAAAGAGUAUGCAGACUCAAACUGGAAAUCACCUUUAAGUAUAAAUUUAUAUAAAUACAACAAAAGUUCCCAACAAUUCACUGCAAUGUAAAAUCAAAAUUUACCAUGCAUUUCUAGUUAACAUAUAAACACAAUAUUAUCUUUGACUCAACAAAACUUGUUUCUAUGUUAGGAAUUUACUGGAUAAAAAUAUACAAGACCUUAAAUGAACAUACAGGUAAAUUAUUUAAUAGAUCCUUAAAGAUUUUUCUCUUUUUUUAUACAUUACAAAUGACAAAUCACCAGAAAAAUCUACAAAAUAGUUGAUAUUUUAACUAGUAUCAAAGUUUUUAGUUUGGCCUAUUAUGUUAACUACCAACAUCUGCUGCAAUUCAAUUCCAAUAAAAAAAAAAAA
This 5809-nucleotide long non-coding RNA is filed under the name Orbicella faveolata. Its description in RNAcentral is "uncharacterized LOC110046572". The record is from RNAcentral. Lineage: Eukaryota; Metazoa; Cnidaria; Anthozoa; Scleractinia; Merulinidae.